RNAcentral lists this ribosomal RNA (200 nucleotides) under uncultured Streptococcus sp. RNAcentral's name for it is "partial 16S ribosomal RNA". It matches the Rfam family "Bacterial small subunit ribosomal RNA", at positions 1183 to 1382 of the family's 1533-position model. The record is from RNAcentral. Lineage: Bacteria; Bacillati; Bacillota; Bacilli; Lactobacillales; Streptococcaceae.
CAACAAUAGUCAUGCCCCUUAUGACCUGGGCUACACACGUGCUACAAUGGUUGGUACAACGAGUUGCGAGUCGGUGACGGCGAGCUAAUCUCUUAAAGCCAAUCUCAGUUCGGAUUGUAGGCUGCAACUCGCCUACAUGAAGUCGGAAUCGCUAGUAAUCGCGGAUCAGCACGCCGCGGUCGAAUACGUUCCCGGGCCUU